GACGAACGCUGGCGGCGUGCUUAACACAUGCAAGUCGAACGAAGAGCGAUGGAAGCUUGCUUCUAUCAAUCUUAGUGGCGAACGGGUGAGUAACGCGUAAUCAACCUGCCCUUCAGAGGGGGACAACAGUUGGAAACGACUGCUAAUACCGCAUACGAUCUAACCUCGGCAUCGAGGAUGGAUGAAAGGUGGCCUCUAUUUAUAAGCUAUCACUGAAGGAGGGGAUUGCGUCUGAUUAGCUAGUUGGAGGGGUAACGGCCCACCAAGGCGAUGAUCAGUAGUCGGUCUGAGAGGAUGAACGGCCACAUUGGGACUGAGACACGGCCCAGACUCAUACGGGAGGCAGCAGUGGGGAAUCUUCCGCAAUGGACGAAAGUCUGACGGAGCAACGCCGCGUGAGUGAUGACGGCCUUCGGGUUGUAAAGCUCUGUUAAUCGGGACGAAAGGCCUUCUUGCGAAUAGUUAGAAGGAUUGACGGUACCGGAAUAGAAAGCCACGGCUAACUACGUG
This 510-nucleotide ribosomal RNA is filed under the name uncultured bacterium. RNAcentral's name for it is "partial 16S ribosomal RNA". It matches the Rfam family "Bacterial small subunit ribosomal RNA", at positions 28 to 507 of the family's 1533-position model. The record is from RNAcentral.